UGGGGAAUCUUCCGCAAUGGGCGCAAGCCUGACGGAGCAACGCCGCGUGAGUGAAGAAGGGUUUCGACUCGUAAAGCUCUGUUAUACGGGACGAAAGGCGUAGCGGUCAAUACCCGUUACGAGUGACGGUACCGUAAGAGAAAGCCACGGCUAACUACGUGCCAGCAGCCGCGGUAAUACGUAGGUGGCAAGCGUUGUCCGGAAUUAUUGGGCGUAAAGGGCGCGCAGGCGGCGUCGUAAGUCGGUCUUAAAAGUGCGGGGCUUAACCCCGUGAGGGGACCGAAACUGCGAUGCUAGAGUAUCGGAGA
This 308-nucleotide ribosomal RNA is filed under the name uncultured Megasphaera sp. RNAcentral describes it as "bacterial SSU rRNA". It matches the Rfam family "Bacterial small subunit ribosomal RNA", at positions 355 to 655 of the family's 1533-position model. Lineage: Bacteria; Bacillati; Bacillota; Negativicutes; Veillonellales; Veillonellaceae. The record is from RNAcentral.